GCGUAAUAGCUCACUGGUCGAGUCGGCCUGCGCGGAAGAUGUAACGGGGCUAAACCAUGCACCGAAGCUGCGGCAGCGACACUAUGUGUUGUUGGGUAGGGGAGCGUUCUGUAAGCCUGUGAAGGUGGCCUGUGAGGGUUGCUGGAGGUAUCAGAAGUGCGAAUGCUGACAUAAGUAACGAUAAAGCGGGUGAAAAGCCCGCUCGCCGGAAGACCAA
RNAcentral lists this ribosomal RNA (217 nucleotides) under Salmonella enterica subsp. enterica serovar Cerro. Its description in RNAcentral is "partial 23S ribosomal RNA". It matches the Rfam family "Bacterial large subunit ribosomal RNA", at positions 1132 to 1348 of the family's 2925-position model. The record is from RNAcentral. Lineage: Bacteria; Pseudomonadati; Pseudomonadota; Gammaproteobacteria; Enterobacterales; Enterobacteriaceae.